UAAUUCAUUCAAAUAAGGGUCCUAAGGUAAGACAUUUGAUUUGGUUAGCUACAACUUGGUGUAUUUGGAGGCUAAGGAAUAAUAUUGUUUUUAGCGGGGAAGGAGUACCUAAUGUUGAUCAGUUAAUUGACCAAAUCAAAUUCAUUUCUUGGCUUUGGUUUAUAGGUCGCUCGGGUAGAUAUAGUGACUUUGUGUUUACAGAUUGGCUCACACAACCUUUAGAGUGUCUUAAAAAACUCUAAGGGCCCUUUUGUUGUAUUGUAAGAUUUUGAGUACUCCUUGUACUACUUGUUAAUACAAGUUUUGCUUAU
This 311-nucleotide long non-coding RNA is filed under the name Trifolium pratense (red clover). Its description in RNAcentral is "long non-coding RNA (TPRA_LNC000545)". The record is from RNAcentral. Lineage: Eukaryota; Viridiplantae; Streptophyta; Magnoliopsida; Fabales; Fabaceae.